This 499-nucleotide ribosomal RNA is filed under the name uncultured Acidobacteriota bacterium. Its description in RNAcentral is "bacterial SSU rRNA". It matches the Rfam family "Bacterial small subunit ribosomal RNA", at positions 9 to 489 of the family's 1533-position model. Lineage: Bacteria; Pseudomonadati; Acidobacteriota. The record is from RNAcentral.
GAGUUUGAUCCUGGCUCAGAAUCAACGCUGGCGGCGUGCCUAACACAUGCAAGUCGAACGCGAAAGGGGCUUCGGCCCUGAGUAGAGUGGCGAACGGGUGAGUAACACGUGGGUGAUCUGCCUUCGAGUGGGGGAUAACGUUCCGAAAGGAGCGCUAAUACCGCAUGACGUUCCGGGUUUAAAGACCUGGAAACCAAAGCCGGGGACCGCAAGGCCUGGCGCUUGAAGAGGAGCCCGCGUCCGAUUAGCUAGUUGGCGGGGUAAUGGCCCACCAAGGCGACGAUCGGUAGCCGGCCUGAGAGGGCGGACGGCCACACUGGAACUGAGACACGGUCCAGACUCCUACGGGAGGCAGCAGUGGGGAAUUGUUCACAAUGGGCGCAAGCCUGAUGACGCAACGCCGCGUGGGGGAUGAAGGUCUUCGGAUUGUAAACCCCUGUCGAACGGGACGAACGGCCCCUGGGCUAAUCACCAGGGGAGUGACGGUACCGUAAAGGAA